This 253-nucleotide ribosomal RNA is filed under the name uncultured bacterium. RNAcentral's name for it is "partial 16S ribosomal RNA". It matches the Rfam family "Bacterial small subunit ribosomal RNA", at positions 524 to 776 of the family's 1533-position model. The record is from RNAcentral.
GACAGAGGAGCCAAGCGUUGUCCGGAUUGACUGGGCGUAAAGCGCACGCAGGCGGUGGAGCGCGUGGGGUGUGAAAUCUGGCCGCUUAACGGCCAGGCGCCAUCCCAUACGGCGCGACUGGAGUGAUGCAGAGGUCGAUGGAAUUGCCGGUGUAGUGGUGAAAUGCGUAGAGAUCGGCAGGAACACCCAGGGGGAAACCAGUCGACUGGGCAUCUACUGACGCUGAGGUGCGAGAGCGUGGGGAGCGAACCGG